RNAcentral lists this unclassified non-coding RNA (392 nucleotides) under soil metagenome. RNAcentral describes it as "partial contains 5.8S ribosomal RNA, internal transcribed spacer 2, and large subunit ribosomal RNA". The stretch from base 1 to 120 matches the Rfam family "5.8S ribosomal RNA", at positions 35 to 154 of the family's 154-position model. The record is from RNAcentral.
GAUGAAGAACGCAGCGAAAUGCGAUAAGUAAUGUGAAUUGCAGAAUUCAGUGAAUCAUCGAAUCUUUGAACGCAUCUUGCGCUCCUUGGUAUUCCGAGGAGCAUGCCUGUUUGAGUGUCAUUUAACUUCUCAACCACAUUGGAUAUUUUUUUUCCGAUGCCGGCUUGGAUGUGGGGGUUGUUUGCAGGCUUUUUGUAACAAAAAAGGUCGGCUCCCCUGAAAUGUAUUAGUGGUAUCUGAGGCUAUUACUAUUAGGUGUGAUAAUUAUCUAUGCCUUUUGGGUAUGCCGCAUGAACAGAUUAUGCUGCUUCUAACGAAAACUAUUUUGAUGAAGUUGACCUCAAAUCAGGUAGGACUACCCGCUGAGCUUAAGCAUAUCAAUAAGCGGAGGA